GACGAACGCUGUCGGCGUGCUUAACACAUGCAAUUCGAACGGAAAUGCCCUUCUUUUGUGGGGUGCUCGAGUGGCGAACGGUUGAGUAACACGUUAGUAACCUGCCCUUUACUUUGGUAUAACUUCAGGAAACUGGGGCUAAUACCGGAUAGGAGCUCCUGCUGCAUGGUGGGGGUUGUAAAGUUUCGGCGGUUGGGGAUGUACUCGCGGCUUAUCAGCUUGUUGGUGUUGUAGUGGCUUACCAAGGCUUUGACGGGUAGCCGGCCUGAGAGGGUGACCAGCCACACAGGAACUUAGAAACAGCCCAGACUAAUACGGGAGGCAGCAGUGGGGAAUAUUGAACAAUGGGCAGAAGCCUGAUGCAGCAACGCAGCGUGAGGGAUGACGGCCUUAGAGUUGUAAACCGCUUUCGCCGGUGAAGAAGCGUAAGUGACGGUAAAGGGUAGAGAAGCACCGGCUAACUACGUA
RNAcentral lists this ribosomal RNA (468 nucleotides) under uncultured bacterium. RNAcentral's name for it is "partial 16S ribosomal RNA". It matches the Rfam family "Bacterial small subunit ribosomal RNA", at positions 28 to 507 of the family's 1533-position model. The record is from RNAcentral.